RNAcentral lists this ribosomal RNA (493 nucleotides) under uncultured bacterium. RNAcentral describes it as "bacterial SSU rRNA". It matches the Rfam family "Bacterial small subunit ribosomal RNA", at positions 903 to 1397 of the family's 1533-position model. The record is from RNAcentral.
AAAUGAAUUGACGGGGGCCCGCACAAGCGGAGGAACAUGUGGUUUAAUUCGAUGAUACGCGAGGAACCUUACCCGGGCUCGAACGGUCGAUGCAUAUGGAUGAAAGUUCAUAGUCGCAAGACAUCGGUCGAGGUGCUGCAUGGUUGUCGUCAGCUCGUGCCGUGAGGUGUCGGCUUAAGUGCCAUAACGAGCGCAACCCUUACCGUUAGUUACCAUCAAGUAAAGUUGGGGACUCUAGCGGGACUGCCACCGUAAGGUGUGAGGAAGGUGGGGAUGACGUCAAAUCAGCACGGCCCUUACGUCCGGGGCUACACACGUGUUACAAUGGGGGGCACAAAGGGCAGCUACCACGCGAGUGGAUGCCAAUCUUAAAAAACCCCUCCCAGUUCGGAUUGGAGUCUGCAACCCGACUCCAUGAAGCUGGAUUCGCUAGUAAUCGCGCAUCAGCCAUGGCGCGGUGAAUACGUUCCCGGGCCUUGCACACACCGCCCGU